UACGUAGGGUGCGAGCGUUGUCCGGAAUUACUGGGCGUAAAGAGCUCGUAGGUGGUUUGUCGCGUUGUCCGUGAAAACUCACAGCUUAACUGUGGGCGUGCGGGCGAUACGGGCAGACUGGAGUACUGCAGGGGAGACUGGAAUUCCUGGUGUAGCGGUGGAAUGCGCAGAUAUCAGGAGGAACACCGGUGGCGAAGGCGGGUCUCUGGGCAGUAACUGACGCUGAGGAGCGAAAGCUAGGGGAGCAAACAGG
RNAcentral lists this ribosomal RNA (253 nucleotides) under uncultured bacterium. Its description in RNAcentral is "partial 16S ribosomal RNA". It matches the Rfam family "Bacterial small subunit ribosomal RNA", at positions 524 to 776 of the family's 1533-position model. The record is from RNAcentral.